RNAcentral lists this ribosomal RNA (209 nucleotides) under uncultured bacterium. RNAcentral describes it as "partial 16S ribosomal RNA". It matches the Rfam family "Bacterial small subunit ribosomal RNA", at positions 1293 to 1500 of the family's 1533-position model. The record is from RNAcentral.
UCGGAUUGCAGGCUGCAACCCGCCCUGCAUGAAGUUGGAAUCGCUAGUAAUCGCGGAUCAGCAUGCCGCGGUGAAUACGUUCCCGGGCCCUGUACACACCGCCCGUCACACCAUGAGAGUCGGGAACACCCGAAGUCCGUAGCCUGACCGCAAGGGGGGCGCGGCCGAAGGUGGGUUCGAUAAUUGGGGUGAAGUCGUAACAAGGUAGC